Molecule: ribosomal RNA, 248 nt
Filed under: uncultured bacterium
Lineage: Bacteria
Description: partial 16S ribosomal RNA
Rfam family: Bacterial small subunit ribosomal RNA
Source: RNAcentral
UGAGUAACGCGUGGGUAACCUGCCCUAGUACAGGGGGAUAACAGUCAGAAAUGCUGCUAAUACCGCAUAAGACCACAGCACCGCAUGGUGCAGGGGUAAAAACUCCGGUGGUACAGGAUGGACCCGCGUCUGAUUAGCUGGUUGGUGAGGUAACGGCUCACCAAGGCGACGAUCAGUAGCCGGCUUGAGAGAGUGAACGGCCACAUUGGGACUGAGACACGGCCCAAACUCCUACGGGAGGCAGCAUG